RNAcentral lists this ribosomal RNA (254 nucleotides) under uncultured bacterium. RNAcentral describes it as "partial 16S ribosomal RNA". It matches the Rfam family "Bacterial small subunit ribosomal RNA", at positions 524 to 776 of the family's 1533-position model. The record is from RNAcentral.
UACGUAGGGGUCUAGCGUUGUCCGGAAUCAUUGGGCGUAAAGAGCUCGUAGGCGGUUCGGCAAGUCGGAUGUGAAAUCUCCACGCUCAACGUGGAGGGGCCAUUCGAAACUGCCGUGACUCGAGUCCGGUAGGGGAGUUCGGAAUUCCCGGUGUAGCGGUGAAAUGCGCAGAUAUCAGGAGGAACACCAAUAGCGAAGGCAGCUCGCUGGGACGUUACUGACACUGAGGCGCGAAAGCGUGGGGAGCGAACAGG